RNAcentral lists this ribosomal RNA (269 nucleotides) under uncultured prokaryote. RNAcentral's name for it is "partial 16S ribosomal RNA". It matches the Rfam family "Bacterial small subunit ribosomal RNA", at positions 524 to 792 of the family's 1533-position model. The record is from RNAcentral.
UACGUAGGAGGCGAGCGUUAUCCGGAUUUACUGGGCGUAAAGGGCUCGUAGGCGGCUCGCCAAGUCAGUUGUGAAAGCUCCCGGCUCAACCGGGAGAGGUCAAGUGAUACUGGCGGGCUUGAGGGCAGCAGAGGGAGAUGGAAUUCCCGGUGUAGUGGUGAAAUGCGUAGAUAUCGGGAGGAACACCAGUGGCGAAGGCGGUCUCCUGGGCUGUGCCUGACGCUGAGGAGCGAGAGCGUGGGGAGCAAACAGGAUUAGAUACCCCCGUA